GAUGAACGCUGGCGGCGUGCCUAAUACAUGCAAGUCGAGCGAACAGAUGAGGAGCUUGCUCCUCUGACGUUAGCGGCGGACGGGUGAGUAACACGUGGAUAACCUACCUAUAAGACUGGGAUAACUUCGGGAAACCGGAGCUAAUACCGGAUAAUAUAUUGAACCGCAUGGUUCAAUAGUGAAAGACGGUUUUGCUGUCACUUAUAGAUGGAUCCGCGCCGCAUUAGCUAGUUGGUAAGGUAACGGCUUACCAAGGCAACGAUGCGUAGCCGACCUGAGAGGGUGAUCGGCCACACUGGAACUGAGACACGGUCCAGACUCCUACGGGAGGCAGCAGUAGGGAAUCUUCCGCAAUGGGCGAAAGCCUGACGGAGCAACGCCGCGUGAGUGAUGAAGGUCUUCGGAUCGUAAAACUCUGUUAUUAGGGAAGAACAAAUGUGUAAGUAACUAUGCACGUCUCGACGGUACCUAAUCAGAAAGCCACGGCUAACUACGUG
This 497-nucleotide ribosomal RNA is filed under the name uncultured bacterium. Its description in RNAcentral is "partial 16S ribosomal RNA". It matches the Rfam family "Bacterial small subunit ribosomal RNA", at positions 28 to 507 of the family's 1533-position model. The record is from RNAcentral.